RNAcentral lists this transfer RNA (65 nucleotides) under Fukomys damarensis (Damara mole-rat). It matches the Rfam family "tRNA". From Rfam's summary of the family: Transfer RNA (tRNA) molecules are approximately 80 nucleotides in length. Their secondary structure includes four short double-helical elements and three loops (D, anti-codon, and T loops). The record is from Rfam by way of RNAcentral. Lineage: Eukaryota; Metazoa; Chordata; Mammalia; Rodentia; Bathyergidae.
GCUGUAGCUCAGCAGUACAGCAUGUGCUUGGCAUGCACAGAACCCUGGGUUCAAUCCCCAGAGCA